RNAcentral lists this ribosomal RNA (425 nucleotides) under uncultured archaeon. RNAcentral's name for it is "bacterial SSU rRNA". It matches the Rfam family "Archaeal small subunit ribosomal RNA", at positions 474 to 903 of the family's 1478-position model. The record is from RNAcentral.
UACCAGCUCUCCGAGUGGUGGGGAUGAUUAUUGGGCUUAAAGCGUCCGUAGCCGGCUUAGCAAGUCUCCUGUUAAAUUCAGCGACCUAAUCGUUGAGCCGCGGGAGAUACUACUAGGCUAGGAGGCGGGAGAGGUCAACGGUACUUCCGGGGUAGGGGUGAAAUCCUAUAAUCCCGGGAGGACCACCAGUGGCGAAGGCUGUUGACUAGAACGCGCUCGACGGUGAGGGACGAAAGCUGGGGGAGCGAACCGGAUUAGAUACUCGGGUAGUCCCAGCUGUAAACGAUGCGAGCUAGGUGUUGGGGUGGCUACGUGCCACUUCAGUGCCGCAGGGAAGCCAUUAAGCUCGCCGCCUGGGGAUACGGCCGCAAGGCUGAAACUUAAAGAUUGGCGGGGAGCACCACAAGGCGUGAAGCUUGCGGUUC